RNAcentral lists this non-coding RNA (84 nucleotides) under Pteridomonas danica. Lineage: Eukaryota; Dictyochophyceae; Pedinellales. The record is from RNAcentral.
ACCUCGUGCUCCUCCUCCUCCUCCUCCUCCUCCAUUGUCACCACCGCCGCCACUAGCACUUGAAUCGCAAGUGACUCCACCUUC